This is a non-coding RNA of Phrynosoma platyrhinos (Desert horned lizard), 72 nucleotides long. The record is from the annotation of a GenBank genome assembly. NCBI's taxonomy places the organism in Eukaryota, Metazoa, Chordata, Lepidosauria, Squamata, Phrynosomatidae.
GUUAGUGUGGCAUAGUGGUUUGAGUGUUGGACUGUGACUUUGGAGACCAAGGUUCAAUUCCAAGUUUGGCCA